GUGAAGGUCAUCACUUUUAUCAAUAAGAAGACUAAAGUUCUCUCACUUGUAUCCUCCCUGAUUUUUCUUCCUCUUCUUCGUUGGGUAAAAACCGUAGCAGAGAAUUUCGAGCGAGUGGGAAUUUGAAUCCAGUUGGGCAAUCUGUGAUUAAUGACCACAACUUUGGGAUUGUCAUCAUCGACAUCUUCAAGUGCUCAAUUGCGUCACAGUGUUAUUCAUCCUGCUUCAAAUUUCUCUAAAGAAUUACUUCGAAACGGUGUGUUGCAGUAUUACUAGUCCUUGGUUCAUGUACAAUCCAAAAACGGUGAGAGGGUUAAUAUUCAUACUUCAAAACACAUAGAUUUUCUCAGUUCUCACUAUUUAACUCCUAGGAUUGAAACUCUCCAUAAUCCACUCUUGGAGUUUUAAAGCAAAAGAAAAUCCUCACUUGUUCUUACAAAAGUUGGUGCUUUGAUUCUCAAUGGAUUGUGUUACAUUUUGUUUGAAGGUACGAGCAGACUGAAUAUGUUGAUAGGGAAAUGGAGCAAAUGACAGAACAUACAAUAUCAAUUAUUCAUACCUUGAAUGCUAGUCAGGGAGGGGACCUCGAUGCAGCCGAUGGGUUGAAUCUGUUAGAUGUUGUUGUACGCAUUCUAAGCAAUCAGCUCAGUUCACUAAUGUGGAUUGAUGAAAAGGACGAAGGGACUGGCUUCCAAUGCGAUGUCGAUCCGUUAAGAGGUGAUGGGACUGGCUUCGAAUGCACUAAUGGAGUUACUAAAAUUCCAGUUGCACUAGCAUCCGAAGGCAAAAUACUUGUAUGGGUGAAAGAAAAUUUUCUUUUGCUAAUAUCAGAAAAGUUUUCUUUUGCUAAUAUCGUCACUGUCCACGGUCAUCACAACAACAUUCCCAGUUUAUUUUAUAUACCCAAAAUUCAUUUUACUUGACCGUGAAAAAUAAUAUAUGUUUCUUCAUUGCUAA
Papaver somniferum (opium poppy) is the source of this 957-nucleotide long non-coding RNA. RefSeq lists it as uncharacterized. The transcript is spliced from 6 exons. NCBI's taxonomy places the organism in Eukaryota, Viridiplantae, Streptophyta, Magnoliopsida, Ranunculales, Papaveraceae. The record is from RefSeq and is a predicted model, not a curated record.